Molecule: ribosomal RNA, 1211 nt
Filed under: Peach yellow leaf phytoplasma
Lineage: Bacteria; Bacillati; Mycoplasmatota; Mollicutes; Acholeplasmatales; Acholeplasmataceae
Description: bacterial SSU rRNA
Rfam family: Bacterial small subunit ribosomal RNA
Source: RNAcentral
CUGGAUAGGAAAUUAAGAGGCAUCUUUUAAUUUUUAAAAGACCUUUUUCGAAAGGUAUACUUAAAGAGGGGCUUGCGCCACAUUAGUUAGUUGGUAAGGUAAAGGCUUACCAAGACGAUGAUGUGUAGCUGGACUGAGAGGUCGAACAGCCACAUUGGGACUGAGACACGGCCCAAACUCCUACGGGAGGCAGCAGUAAGGAAUUUUUGGCAAUGGAGGAAACUCUGACCGAGCGACGUCGCGUGACAAUGAAGUACUUCGGUAUGUAAAGUUCUUUUAUUGAAAAAGAAAAAAUAAUGGAAAAACUAUCUUGACAUUAUUCAAUGAAUAAGCCCCGGCUAAUUAUGUGCCAGCAGCCGCGGUAAUACAUAAGGGGCGAGCGUUAUCCGGAAUUAUUGGGCGUAAAGGGUGCGUAGGCGGUUUGAUAAGUCUAUAGUUUAAAUGCAGUGCUUAACGCUGUAGCGCUAUAGAAACUGUCUGACUAGAGUUAGAUAGAGGCAAGCGGAAUUCCAUGUGUAGCGGUAAAAUGCGUAAAUAUAUGGAGGAACACCAGAGGCGUAGGCGGCUUGCUGGGUCUUAACUGACGCUGAGGCACGAAAGCGUGGGGAGCAAACAGGAUUAGAUACCCUGGUAGUCCACGCCGUAAACGAUGAGUACUAAGUGUCGGGUUUCGGCUCGGUACUGAAGUUAACACAUUAAGUACUCCGCCUGAGUAGUACGUACGCAAGUAUGAAACUUAAAGGAAUUGACGGGACCCCGCACAAGCGGUGGAUCGUGUUGUUUAAUUCGAAGAUACACGAAAAACCUUACCGGGUCUUGACAUAAUUUUGCGACAUUAUAGAAAUAUAAUGAAGGUUAUCAGAAUUACAGGUGGUGCAUGGUUGUCGUCAGCUCGUGUCGUGAGAUGUUAGGUUAAGUCCUAAAACGAGCGCAACCCUUGUCGUUAGUUGCGACCACGUAAUGGUGAGCACUUUAGCGAGACUGCCAAUGAAAAAUUGGAGGAAGGUGAGGAUUACGUCAAAUCAUCAUGCCCCUUAUGAUCUGGGCUACAAACGUGAUACAAUGGCUGUUACAAAGAGUAGCUACAACGUGAGUUUUUAGCCAAUCUCAAAAAAACAGUCUCAGUUCGGAUUGAAGUCUGCAACUCGACUUCAUGAAGUUGGAAUCGCUAGUAAUCGCGAAUCAGCAUGUCGCGGUGAAUACGUUCUCGG